This is a long non-coding RNA of Xiphophorus maculatus (southern platyfish), 592 nucleotides long. RefSeq lists it as uncharacterized. Lineage: Eukaryota; Metazoa; Chordata; Actinopteri; Cyprinodontiformes; Poeciliidae. The record is from RefSeq and is a predicted model, not a curated record. The transcript is spliced from 2 exons.
UUAGCACAUUAUUUUCUUAAAUUACAAAGUAUCUUGCAAAACUGUUUGUUUCUUGGUAAAACAAAAACAGAACAUAAUACUUUUGGAAAUACUCUUCUGAUAAGGCGAUUAUGAAUCCAAGCAAAUAAAAAGUUGUUCAGUAAGCAUGUUUUAUUUUUUUUCUUUACAAAAUAAAUGGUAAAAUAUUAAACUUGUUGAUAGAUAAAUAAAGUGCCAGUUUUUUUUCUGCAGGUGUUAAACAAGAGGGGAGCAGGAUUAGGAAAAGCUUGUUGCUUAAGGUGCAAACAGAACUCAUGACAACUGCAACAAUAAAUGAAGUCAAUAAUAUAACAAACUGCAUUUGCAUGAUACGUUUGUUUUGUAUGUUUUUUUUAACAAGCUCAAUCACACAAAUAGUAAAUUAGCCAAUUAUGUGGCAACGACAAAAUUAAUACUUGUAUUAUUAAAGUUACUUUCUACAAACUCCUCUGAAUAUCCCUGAACAUUUUAAAAGAACGUGUCCUUUUUUAUUUAUUCUUUUUUUAUUUUAUUUCAUUGUUUAAUCAUUUUUUCAUCACACUUGAAAUGAAGCCAAAAUGAUUUCUAAUGAAUU